AAAUGAACGCGGAGGAUUCCUGAGGACUCGGGCUCGAGAGCGCUCUCGUUUGGAAAACCAGCCCAAGUCCCGCGCUCUCUGAAGAUUUCUCUUCUUCCUACUGAUUGUGGUGAGUGUUCAUGCCCUGACAUUUUCUUUAUUCACCCAACAGCUUUGGAUACCAGAGUUUCAGUGACUGAUGAUUAUUCUAGAUAUUUUAUAAUCUCUCUCUCUCUCUCUUUUUUUUUUGUCUUCUCUAGGGCCACACCUGUGGCACAUGGAGGUUCCUAGGGUAGGGGUCCAAUCGGAGCUGUAGCCGCUGGCCUACACCACAGCCACAGCAAUGCGGGAUCUGAGCCUCAUCUGCGAGCUACACAACAGCUCAUGGCAACCCCAGAUCCUUAACCCACUGAGCGAGGCCAGGGACCGAACCCACAACCUCAUGGUUCCUAGUCGGAUUCGUUAAUUACUGAGCCAUGACGGGAACGCCUAUAAUUUCUCAUUUAAUUCAAGUUACUUAGGAGUGCAUUCUAUUAUUAUUAUUUUUUAUGGCUGCACCUAAAACACAUGGAAGUUCCCAGGCUAGGGGUCAAAUCGGAGCUGCAGCCCCCGGCCUACGCCAGAGCCACAGCAACACGGGAUCCGAGCCAUGUCUGCAACCUACACCACAGCUCACGGCAACGCCGGAUCGUUAACCCACUGAGCAAGGGCAGGGACUGAACCCGCAACCUCAUGGUUCCUAGUCGGCUUCGUUAACCACUGCGCCACGACGGGAACUCCCCAUGGUUUUUUAAUUAGCACCACUCCCCUGGUGCCCGGACUCACUGAAGUUCAGGUUCUUUGUGUCUCAGCACAGGAGGAAUUCAUCGAGAGGCAGAGCAAUAGACAAGAAAUAGGUUUACUCAGAGAGGAUGCUUGUGAGAGAUGCAAGCGGGCAGGCAAGGGAGCUCUGUCCUGAGGGUCAGGUGGCUACGUUUUUAUAAUCCAAGGAGAGUGGGGACGGGGAAAGACUGCUUUCUUUCUCGUUCUUCAGGCCAACGCCAGGCUUUCAUCCCUAGCCCCUUCACAUCCGGCGAGAGGAUAUUUGACCCUGUGAGGUCACCCGAGGUGCUUGUGCACAUCGGCAGCAGGGUGGUGACAGGUGUGCGACAAUAUGUUGGAACCUCUCAGCUUUCCCUGUAAUGAGAGACUUCCGACUUUGGAACGUCGUCUUUCUCUUACUUUCCCGUCUUUGGUCCUAAGGACCAUUAUCUUCCUGAACUUGAAUGCGGGCUUCGUUUUUUUUCUUUCUCUCGCUUAGUGACCUGAGCCGUGUCUCGUGCGUUUCUCUAUGGUUUUAUCGUUAAGCAUGCUGCUUCGUUCCAUGCAUGUUCUGAUGGCUUUCGUGAGUGGUUAUUAACCUACUGUGGUCUCCCGAAGUUCCCUAGGUUUCCCGCUCUGUCUGUGGUCUCCUCCUGGGACUCCUACAACGACCCGUGUAACUCUCCUCCUCCAUCCCUAUCAGUGGGAAGCCCGGAUUCUAGGGAGCCCAAUGCCAACAGCCUUCCGUCAGGGCGCGCCUGGAGCCUUACCUUUUUUCUCCUAUCAAGCUUUCCCACUCCUCUGCCUACCUUUCAUUAUCUGCCAAAACUCAAGGGAUAAUGUUGCCAAAACUCAGCCUCCCCCAUCGGUGCUGAAUAGAAACACAGAGUUUUGGGUAAAGGAGAAAAAGAUAGCUUUUAUUGCUUUGCCAGGCAGGGCAGGCCACAACGAGCUGAGGCCUUAUAGGCUGUGCCCUCCUUUGGGAGAGCACAGGAGGUGGUCUUAGAGUUUGGGGGCGGAAGAUAGAGCCGCAGAUGAGGAUCAGGGUAGAUGCACGCUUGCGGUCCUCACAGCGGGUGUUUCGUGGCCCCGGGACUGGGUCUGGUGCUCCGCCUCCUUUCUGGAGUGAAGAAUGCUUCAUCAGGUAGUUAACGUCUUUCAUUUGUUGGGGGUUCUGGUUCAGCGGAAGAACUCCAAGAUAUUGUUACGUAUUUUUCUUGAGGGGGGACCAGGACCCGCCCCGAGGCUGCACUCUUGUCUCUUGAUGGCUCCUCCCUGGUCUCUGCAUCCCCUCCCUUCCCAGAUGAGCAACUCUUUGAAGCUGCCCUUUGGAACUCAGGGAAGGUCACGGAGCUGGGAUGGAAAAGAAGGCAAGACUGGCGAAGUCCGGACGGCCCGCUGGUGAGUGGUGUGGAGCUGCUCACUGAGGGGCUCCGAAGUGGCCUGGAAGAUUUCCUGCCGCCCGAGAGUGGAGGAUCCACCGAAGCUGCGUGUGUCACUCUGUGACAGCGUCUGAAACAGAGCGCCCAUGUUAUAGGUGCUCAGUAAAUACGAAUUGAUCGGAUGAGAACUCACAGGUACCCUUGUCAUCUGCUCUGGUCUCUCUCUCUCUAUUCCUUCCUUAGGAAAUAGGGUAGUUCUGGAGCCUCCCAAACAGAGCAGAGGAGAUGACAUAAUAUAUAACAUAAAUAUAUACAAAAUGUCGUAUAUAUAAUACAAAGAACAAUCUUAUGUAAGAUGAUGUGACAGUUAUGUUUUGUAAAUUUUUCCAUAUGUAUUUAAGCUUUUUGUAUCCUAUAAAAUUCCAGAUUCACACAUAUUUAAUUUAAACAUUAGAAUUCAUUUCCUUGUUCUUCUUUGCCCAGAAAGGAAUUUUAAAUUAUUUUGCUCUAUACCAGAACAAGCUAAUUUAGAAAAACACAGUGGAGGGAUUUCCUGUUGUGGCUCAGCGGGUUAAGAACCUGACACAGUGUCCCUGAGGACACAGGUUCGACCCCUGGCCUUGCUCAGUGGGCUAAGGAUCCAGCAUUGUCACAAGCUGUGGCAUAGGUCACAGAUGCAGCUUGGAUUCAACCCCUAGCUUGGGAACUUCUAUAUGCCACAGAUGUGGCCCUAAAAAGAAAAAGAAAAA
RNAcentral lists this long non-coding RNA (2911 nucleotides) under Sus scrofa (pig). RNAcentral describes it as "lncRNA (ENSSSCG00045016200.1)". The record is from RNAcentral. Lineage: Eukaryota; Metazoa; Chordata; Mammalia; Artiodactyla; Suidae.